CUAAGUAUGUCAUUUUGGAGAAUAAAACUAGAAGAAGAAGAAGAAGAAGAAGAAGAAGAAGAAGAAGAAGAAGAAGAAGAAGAAGAAGAAGAAGACUAGAAGAAGAAGAAGAAGAAGAAGAAGAAGAAGAAGGAGAAGGAGAAGGAGAAGAAGAAGCUAGAAGAAGAAGAAGAAGGAUAAGGAGAAGAAGAAGGGGAAUAAGAAGGAGGAGGAGAAGAAGAAGG
Molecule: long non-coding RNA, 224 nt
Filed under: Hordeum vulgare
Lineage: Eukaryota; Viridiplantae; Streptophyta; Magnoliopsida; Poales; Poaceae
Description: long non-coding RNA (HVUL_LNC012767)
Source: RNAcentral